AAGAAAUACGGGACAAAACAUGUUUUGUUUGUUUUUUUCAUAAUAAGUCACUAAAAAUAGAGCUGAAAUAGAGCGUCUGGUCAUCCUAUCUUUAAAGACUGCAUCUUUUAUGAAUAUUAACAGAGAGAGAAAGAAAUAGGAAGAGAGAGAGAUGGAGGGAGAUAUGAGCUCCUCGCAGGUAAUGGAGAACCCUUCACAUUGAGCUUUAAAGACUCGAAAGUCUACACAAAAGAAGUCAAGAUCUUAGACCACCCAGAAACAGCCUAAUAAGUCCACAUUUACCUUCAUGGUAUGGAAAAGAAGAGCAUGCCAGCAUCUCCUUUUGUGUGAAGACCGAAAAGUCAUACAACAUAAGGCGUGUGUCGGUGACGGGUUCCCCGCUGCUCCUCCUCUCUCCGUGCAGACUCCCCGCGUAUCGGAACAAAUGCCGGACGGAAGAAAAUAAACCUAUCUCAUUCAGAUGACAACACGUUCCCCCAGGUUCUGAUAACGCGCCAGUUUGAGAGUAGCAGCCGGGGUCAAUUGCUCAUUUCUCGCACAGGGAGGGUGUCUAUCGCUGGUAACGACGCUUCCCUGUGUGCGGCUGAACGGAGUGGAUCAAAUCUCUGCUUUUUGCCAACUGUGGGAACCACGAUCAUCUAUUCUGCAGCUCUGCCACUAUGUGAGAGAGCAAAACAAACUAUUACAAAGCGGGUGUAUUAGAUUUCCUCACUAAUGGUAGUUUAUUGACCAUAUAGGCUACAGGAAAAAUAUCCACAAUAUCUUCACACUUCACACUUACAACUUCAUCUCAAUUCAGUGGAAAAACAAACACUCUUGUUAGUGCUAUCUGUUGAUUUACAUAAACACACUAAAGAAUGCUGGGUUAAAAAUGCACAAACCCAGCAAUUGGGCUGUUUUAACCCAGCGGUUGGGUUAAAUGUUUGCCCAACCUGCUGGGUAGUUGUAUUUAACUCAACUAUUGUUUAAAAAUGUAUUGCUUAAAUUGAACCCAUAUGUCAGAAAUUAACAUUUAUUGAUAUGUUUAAUAUUUAAACAAUUUAGUUU
This is a long non-coding RNA of Megalobrama amblycephala (Wuchang bream), 1047 nucleotides long. RefSeq lists it as uncharacterized. The transcript has 3 exons. NCBI's taxonomy places the organism in Eukaryota, Metazoa, Chordata, Actinopteri, Cypriniformes, Xenocyprididae. The record is from RefSeq and is a predicted model, not a curated record.